AUAUGUAGGUGGCAAGCGUUGUCCGGAUUUAUUGGGCGUAAAGCGAGCGCAGGCGGUUUUUUAAGUCUGAUGUGAAAGCCUUCGGCUUAACCGGAGAAGUGCAUCGGAAACUGGGAGACUUGAGUGCAGAAGAGGACAGUGGAACUCCAUGUGUAGCGGUGGAAUGCGUAGAUAUAUGGAAGAACACCAGUGGCGAAGGCGGCUCUCUGGUCUGUAACUGACGCUGAGGCUCGAAAGCGUGGGUAGG
RNAcentral lists this ribosomal RNA (247 nucleotides) under uncultured bacterium. RNAcentral describes it as "partial 16S ribosomal RNA". It matches the Rfam family "Bacterial small subunit ribosomal RNA", at positions 523 to 769 of the family's 1533-position model. The record is from RNAcentral.